This 440-nucleotide ribosomal RNA is filed under the name uncultured bacterium. Its description in RNAcentral is "bacterial SSU rRNA". It matches the Rfam family "Bacterial small subunit ribosomal RNA", at positions 30 to 469 of the family's 1533-position model. The record is from RNAcentral.
AUUGAACGCUGGCGGCAUGCCUUACACAUGCAAGUCGAACGGCAGCACGGGAGCAAUCCUGGUGGCGAGUGGCGAACGGGUGAGUAAUAUAUCGGAACGUGCCCGGUCGUGGGGGAUAACGUAGCGAAAGCUACGCUAAUACCGCAUACGAUCUACGGAUGAAAGCGGGGGGAUCGCAAGACCUCGCGCGAUUGGAGCGGCCGAUAUCAGAUUAGGUAGUUGGUGAGGUAAAGGCUCACCAAGCCGACGAUCUGUAGCUGGUCUGAGAGGACGACCAGCCACACUGGGACUGAGACACGGCCCAGACUCCUACGGGAGGCAGCAGUGAGGAAUAUUGGACAAUGGGCGCAAGCCUGAUCCAGCCAUGCCGCGUGCAGGAUGACGGUCCUAUGGAUGUAAACUGCUUUUAUACAGGAAGAAACACUAACUUUCGUGAAGUA